AUACGGAAGGUCCGGGCGUUAUCCGGAUUUAUUGGGUUUAAAGGGAGCGCAGGCGGAGAUGCAAGCGUGACGUCAAAUUUCGGGGCUCAACCCCGUCUCGCGUCGCGAACUGCGUCCCUUGGUUGCGGGAAGGGGAGGCGGAACUCGUGGGGUAGCGGUGAAAUGCAUAGAUAUCACGAGGAACUCCGAUUGCGCAGGCAGCUUACUAAACUACUACUGACGCUCAGGCACGAAGGCGUGGGGAUCAAACAGGAUUAGAUACCCUGGUAGUCCACGCAGUAAACGAUGAUUACUAGCUGUUUGCGAUACAAUGUAAGCGGCUGAGCGAAAGCGUUAAGUAAUCCACCUGGGGAGUGCGUUCGCAAGAAUGAAACUCAAAGGAAUUGACGGGG
This 392-nucleotide ribosomal RNA is filed under the name uncultured bacterium. RNAcentral's name for it is "partial 16S ribosomal RNA". It matches the Rfam family "Bacterial small subunit ribosomal RNA", at positions 523 to 918 of the family's 1533-position model. The record is from RNAcentral.